Molecule: ribosomal RNA, 248 nt
Filed under: uncultured cyanobacterium
Lineage: Bacteria; Bacillati; Cyanobacteriota
Description: partial 16S ribosomal RNA
Rfam family: Bacterial small subunit ribosomal RNA
Source: RNAcentral
CCAGCAGCCGCGGUAAUACGGGAGUGGCAAGCGUUAUCCGGAAUUAUUGGGCGUAAAGCGUCCGCAGGCGGCCCUUCAAGUCUGCUGUUAAAAAGUGGAGCUUAACUCCAUCAUGGCAGUGGAAACUGUUGGGCUUGAGUGUGGUAGGGGCAGAGGGAAUUCCCGGUGUAGCGCCGAAAUGCGUAGAUGUCCGGAAGAACACCGCUGGAGAAGGCGUCCUGCUGCGCCAUCUCUUACGCUCAGAGAUG